Molecule: non-coding RNA, 5654 nt
Organism: Parasteatoda tepidariorum (common house spider)
Lineage: Eukaryota; Metazoa; Arthropoda; Arachnida; Araneae; Theridiidae
Source: RefSeq, a predicted model, not a curated record
UAACCCUUCCAUGUAAAAAAAUAUAUCUCAGAUAUAUAUGUGCAAUAAAACAUUAUGUAAAGGACAAUUACAGAUCAAAAUCGUUGUCCUCUACCAAAAUUAAAUGCAACAAAAACAUUUUUCCCUCUUUAUUUGUUCAACUGUUGUGUAUAUUGAAAAGUACAAUAAAAAUAUAUUAAUAAAACAGCUUAAAGUAUAUGCUGUUUGAUUUUUCUUAUCAGCGGAAUCAUUUCAAUUCCUGAAGUAAAAAAGAUGUGGAAGCAAGUAAUUCUGUUGUGUGUAUUAAUUACUGUGGUGAAUGCAAUUGCAUGUGGAAACUACUGUGCAACCCAUAAAUGCCCAAAACUACAAUGUAAAAAAGGACAAAUAGUAAUGAAAAGAGGUAGUUUCUGUGGAUGCUGCAAUACAUGUUACACAGUGUUAAAAGAAGGACAGAGUUGCUCCACGUUGCAUUUCAGAGGUGGUCCUCCCCCAACUUCUGGAUGUGAUAAAGGUUUAGAAUGUGAUCCAGAAACUAACAAGUGUGCCUAAAGAAAUCCACCAUAAAUAUGUGAAGACCAAGGAGAUAAAACGGCUUAUGUCUGUUUUUUUCUAUAAAUAUUUUUUCUAAGAUUGGAUUUCCAUCUGUUGCUUAUUGAGGAUUAUUAAGCUUUUAAGAAUCAAUACGGAGAAUAUAUGGUUAUCUCCGAGAUUUAUUACGUUAUGAAAAUGGGUCGUAUUGCAGAAAAACCCUUCCUUUCUAUGCGCAAAAUUAAUUUUUCUUCGAAUCAGCUUUAUGGACAUAAUCCAAUCUUCUGCUGUGAUGUUCAUGUGUCAAACAUGCAUUCAAAAUUCGCAAAAAUUCUUUUUACAAAAUUAUAAUACGUAGGUGGAUCAAAUAUGAAUUAGACUUUUUAAUAGCAGCAGAUGAUUUUUAUUUUCUUUGCUAUGGUUAUAAUGGAACUUUAUCUAGAGUCUAAAUAAUUGUCUGGCAGUAUUUAGUUCUUUUUAAGUCGUUUUUUUAGUAACUCGAAUCAUGAGUGAGAGUAACGUUCUUAGUUCAGUUACAUAACGCAUAAUAAGUAAAUUUUUAAUAAGAUAAAGUAUCGAACCGAUUGAAAUUUUGAGCAGAUUACAGACACAGCUAGGCAAUAACCGGAAUAUUUUGAACUUUUACGUUAGCUUUAGUACGUAAGUUUGAUUAAAACUAUGCAUGAUCACGUUUAUUCUAGAUGCUACUUAUCUUUACGUUGUGUUGGCGUGAUUCACUCUACAAAGACAAAGGUACAAGCACGCUGCUUCUAGCUGUUAAAUGUUGUUUUCUCUUUAAGCUUGCCUAUAAACAUGGACAUGGAAUGUGAUUUUAAAGAAAUGGAUUGAUUAAAUUUCGAAAUGAGUCGUGUGAUCUUACAGCAAUUGACUCAUUCAAUAAAAAGGUAAUUUAAUUGGUUUUUGUUUAACUUUAUGGUUGCCUAAUUGCACCAGUUCCACAAGAAACUAGAUAUAUUUUCGCUCUUUCAAAAUAAUAAAUUAUAUAUAUUUCAGCUAUGCAAUUUAGUAAAAAAGAAGUUCAAUAAUCAAUAAAAUUUCAAUAAUAUUUUUUAAAUAUUAUUAAUAAUAAAAUUGAUCUGGAUUCUUUAUAGCGGAAUUCAUCAAAAUCUAUAAUUUACCAAAUUUUUCUGCUCAUGGAACCACAGUUGUGUGUAGAGUAAAACAUCUUGAAUCGUAUACCACAGCAUUAAAGAUACAGACUACGUCCACUGUAAUUGUUUGUUUUGAUUUUGUGGUCGAAGUUAAAAUGAUAUUCCACUACGUUAGCGUUUUUACCUUACGGAUUUUUGUAAGAUCUUUUAUUUUCACUUGCGUAAGUUAGAUAUAUUUUCACGGGUGCAUGUGCAGUUCAAAAGAACUAACGCAUGUGCAACCGAAGGGCGCAUGAGCAAUUUCUUGAAAUCUUAAUAACGGGAAAUUACGGAAACUAACGUGAAUUUGAGAAAUCUCCCUAAUACUCUGACGAGGGUUCAAGUAUGCAAAUGGCAUAAGUUAUUUAAACAAGACCAUGAAGAAGUUAAAAACUUGUCUCAUGCGGACCCACUGAGUGCUCUUUCAACAAUGCGACUCCCCAUAAGGCCCCAGUAAUACAAAAGUUACACCGGGAAACAGUUAAACAUCCUCCAUAUAGCCUGAACCUUGCACCUUCAGACAACCAUUUGUUUGAACCCAAUAAAUAAGCCUUUGGGGGAGAAAGAUUUUUAUCCAAUGAAAAGAUUUUGUGCUCAAUUCUUUACUGCGCGGCAUACUUUUUUCUAUGUCACCGGGAUAAAAAAAAAAUUCAAAGACGUUGAAAAAAAUAAUUUAAAUAGACAUUAGAGCAAGGCUCUUCGUUAGGUGAUGGGCAUUUCGGUUAGGCUGUGGUUGAGUUGUGUUGUAUGAAAUGAGCGUGGCUUACUUAGUUUAUCAGGUUAUUUAACGUAUCGUAAGAGAUUGGAAAUACUAGACAUUUUGUGUUGUUUAUGAUGCUGCCAUCUCUGCGUGAAUGAAAAUAUCGUAUUAUUAUAGUUCAGGGUCAAGCAUUGGGAAGUGAGGGAUGCUGGAAGCUCUUCAUGUGCUAAAAAGAUUGGAGAAAAUAUUGCGGUGUCAACGCAGGAACUGUUGGUUAUGGGGUUCUGCUGGUCAUAAGGUUCUGUUGGUCAUGAGGUUGACAUAUUCGCUCUCUCGGCUAUAACAUGCACCCAGCUGCAAGGAACUAAGAGGCUUCAUUAGUUGAUGCAAUAAAAUUUUGGUUACAUAAACGUAUUAGGAGAAAGUAGUUAAACUGUUUUUCUCACAGUUAACAGUUUGAAUACCAUCAUAUUAAGGGGCAUUUGACUGAUUUGUUUGAAUAUGGUAAAAUGACAAUUAAAUAAAUUAUUUAACCAUUUUCCCCGAGAAAUUUCUUAUGGUGUAGCAAUCAUACAUGCCGAAAAUAAAUAAAUACUUAGUUAAUGUGUUUCAAUGACAGUUUUUAAAACAUGGUCAAUUUCACAGACAUAUAUAUGGCCUUGCAGACAAACAUGUAGUCUUUUUCAUAGACGUAUUGGAUAAGCUAUAUUGAAAUUUGCAAAUCUGACUUCAUAUUCGUAAUUAGUGACCCUGUGGCAGCGCGUUGGACCAACGUUCGUGAUAAUAGGAGUUUGAAUCUAGAAGGCGGAAGACUCCCCAUGUAGUAAAUGGUGACUGGUGCACGUUAAAUCUGAUGGGACACGAAGUUUUCCAUGUUCCUGUAACAAAUUCUGCUUCUAGGGAUACUGAAUUGGAGGCUGAUCGUUCUCUGGUUCAGGUCAAAAUUACGCUCUGUGGAUGAAAGAAGGGAUAUCAAUGGGUCCUAUAAACGUGUGUGAUGUAUGGGUGCGGUAAAAGUCGAAUUCUUUGGCAUAGAUGGCGCCAUUGGAAAACAAGAAAAAUCACACCCUUUGCCUAAAUAGCCUACGUCUACAAGAGCAAAGCCUAUGAAUUUUAUAAAAUGCUGUUUAUCAAAAUAUAUAUGUUAGACUUAAGCUUGUCUUUUCUUCAAUUCAGGCUACUGUGUGACAACUACGGCGUCGCUCGCAAACUUUGAUUGCAAUGAUUUACAGUUUCGCCAGCUGGUGGUGUUAAGAAAUUGCCACUUGCGAUGCUGGUUCUAAUCAAUAUAACUCAGUGCUUGCAAAAUAUUAAAAAAGGGUUAUGGAAUUAUUCCAAAUGGACACGUAGAAUCCUUUCACAACGUGAAUUGACAGAAUGAUUAUAACUAAAUCAAAAAAUUCCUUUUCAAAAUUCGUUGUAUCAUUCAAAUAAAUUAUAUUAUCAUAAUUAAUAUGCUUCUCACAUUCAACUUGUUUGUUUAAUCAGCUUAUCCAGACUUUUGAAACUCCCAAACUAUUCAUUUAAAGGUGUUGCAAACUUUCUAAAAAUGCUUUCAUACUCGUUUCAUCUAUGAGAAGACAUUACCUUUUGAAACCAGUAUUCAAAGAAUAAAAAUGUGGAAAGAAUUAGUUUUCCUCGCAGCAAUAAUCUCAGUUGUGUAUUGUCAAUUGUGUGGAGAUAUUUGUAGCCGCAGUAAAUGUCAAAAGCCUGUCUGUGAAGAAGGAAAAGUAAUAAAAGAAAAAGGUGGCUAUUGCGGCUGCUGUGACGUUUGUGUACCAGAAAAUAAAGAAAACUGUAUCACGAUAGUUUUCAUGGGACUUCCCGAGUGCAUUUACAUAAAUAAACAGACAACCACGCCCAAACCAGUACACACCAGGUUGAAGAGACAAAAAUCUUUUUGCCCUGGAUCACAGCCUGGAGCCAUUUGCAGGAUAGAUUAGAAAUUUGAACAUUGGAACAUUAAAAAGAAUCACUUAAAAUGUUUUUCUUUUGACUGUAAUGGCAUUAUUUUGCUUCAUGUGCUACUGUCCUAAAAUGUGAAGCCAAGGUUCAUUAAUGUAAUUUAGGAAAUCCAAACUUUGUAAUACUUUUGUGUAUACUAAUGUGAAGACAAAAUUUAAUUUUACUGUAUUACUAGUUUGUUGAAUGUUUUAUCAAUAAAGACUGGAUUAGAAUUACUUACAAUUUUAAUGAUUAAAACAAAACUAUUGCCAUACAUGAAAUUAAAAUGCAUUCGCUGUUAAACACUGGGUGUUUAACAACAAAAAUCAACACAAAAUGGGAAAAUAUUUUCUCCGUGACUUUUUUCCGAUUUUGUUUACUUAAGUAAAUACUUAGUAAAAUAUUUUAAUUGCAGAAAACAAAGACUGUAAAUCGGCAUAUAUCCUUUGUUUAUUUCUAUAAAUUUGUAACCGACAGCCAUGCCCUAGUCAGUACACACUAGGAGAAAAAGACAAAAUCCCCAUUGUCCUUUAUAAAUUGAAAAUUUGAGCAUUCCAACACUAAGGAGAGAGUCACGUAAUUAUUUUUUCCUUUUGCCAAGAAAGCGCCAUGUUGCUUUAUGCGUUACUGUUCCAAAAUAUGACGCCAAGAUACUUUAAUGAGAUUUAGAAAGUUCAAAUUUUGUUAUGUGUGAAUACAAAGCUAAAACUUACUAGAUUUCAUGUUUCACGAAUUUGUUUUUAAUCAAUAGAGACAUUAGGUAAUUACUUAAAUGAUUAAGAAAAACAGAAUUAUCACCUAUGAAAUGAAAAUAUAUUCGGCCUCAUACACUUAAUGUUAUAUAUAAAAAAAAUAAUACAAUAAUGAGAAAGAAAUUUCUUCUCUGACUUUUCACACUUUUGUUCACUUAAGUAAUUGCUUGAUGAAAUAUUUUUAAUUGCAGAAAGCAAAGAAAACUGUAUACCGAUCGUUAUCCUGGGACUUCCUCAGUGCAUUUAUAUAAAUAGACAGACAACCACACCCAAUCCAGUACACACCAGGUUGAAAAGACAAAAACCUUUUUGUCCUGGUUCACAGUUUGGAGCCAUUUGCAGAAUAGAUUAAGAAUUUGAACGUUGAAACUUUAAAAAGAAUCCCUUAAAAUAUUUUUCUUUUGACGGUAAUAACAUUAUUUUGCUUCAUGUGUAACUAUUCUAAAUGUAGAGCCAAGGUUCAUUAAUCUAGGAAAUCCGAAUUUUGUAAUACUUUUGUGUAAUACUUUUGUGUAUACUAAUGUGAAUACAAAAUUAAAUUUUACUGUAUUUAGUUUGUUGAAUGCUUCCUCAAUAAAGACUGGAUUAGAAUUGCAA